This is a long non-coding RNA of Ornithodoros turicata, 145 nucleotides long. RefSeq lists it as uncharacterized. The transcript is spliced from 3 exons. Lineage: Eukaryota; Metazoa; Arthropoda; Arachnida; Ixodida; Argasidae. The record is from RefSeq and is a predicted model, not a curated record.
GGACAGCACUGGGUUUGACUGCACACAUAUUGUUACAUGUGACGAGCAAAAUGACCCAUUGAGCUUCACUGAUGACGCAAGUUCAGUAGGGACACCUGGGCCAUCCGUUCAGUCAUCCAGGCUGUUGUCUGUAGGCACUUCCCCG